UUUAGUAACCAGAAUGGGCAUGAGAAUUGAAGCUGCUUUCUUUCUUCAACACGGGUAGCCAUUAUUUUCUACUCCGGGAUCUUCAAGGUCUAACUCCAAGACGCCAUGAUACUUCCAACGAGUACCAAUCAUGUUGUCUACUUCGUGGACUCCAUGCUACUCCAAACUGCUACUGAACUUUUGUUGCGGUUUGAGCUCUCUUCUUGAGAUCUCUAGAUCGCUUCUUAGAACAUGUUAAACCAUGAUGGUUUUAACCAUUUUUGAGCCUUGAAACCUUGUACAUCAAUGACUUUGAAGUCUUGUGCACAUUCAAUCUUGAGCUCCAUGACUUUGACACUUGAAUGCGUGAGCUUGAUUCAGCAUUCCCACCAGAUUUCUUCUCUAAUUUGAUCGUCCACCAAUGUCACUUCCUCUCUAACAACCACUUGAGUUCGCUGGCCAGAUUUCUUCUUCGUGUUGUCUUGAGUUUUGACUUGGUUGGAUCGUCUAAAUGGACCUUAUGACUUCAAAUAUAACCGGCUGUACUCUUCACUUUCUUAGUCCUUCAUGA
RNAcentral lists this long non-coding RNA (550 nucleotides) under Arabidopsis lyrata. Its description in RNAcentral is "long non-coding RNA (ALYR_LNC000254)". Lineage: Eukaryota; Viridiplantae; Streptophyta; Magnoliopsida; Brassicales; Brassicaceae. The record is from RNAcentral.